RNAcentral lists this ribosomal RNA (164 nucleotides) under Pentatrichia petrosa. RNAcentral's name for it is "5.8S ribosomal RNA". It matches the Rfam family "5.8S ribosomal RNA". Rfam says of the family: 5.8S ribosomal RNA (5.8S rRNA) is a component of the large subunit of the eukaryotic ribosome. Lineage: Eukaryota; Viridiplantae; Streptophyta; Magnoliopsida; Asterales; Asteraceae. The record is from RNAcentral.
CAAACGACUCUCGGCAACGGAUAUCUCGGCUCACGCAUCGAUGAAGAACGUAGCAAAAUGCGAUACUUGGUGUGAAUUGCAGAAUCCCGUGAACCAUGGAGUUUUUGAACGCAAGUUGCGCCCAAAGCCAUUUGGUUGAGGGCACGUCUGUAUGGGCGUCACGC